GGAAAGUGCUUCCGGCAGCCUAGUUAGCGGUGGAACCAGGAAAGCGCAGGCGCAGCAAUUGCUGCUUACUUGGGAGGAGGAGUUGUUUCUCAGACCGAGGUGAUGAAAGGCUGGGAGGCGCUAAAAUGAGACAGCUGGAGCCCCCCUUUCCUGUCCACAAACUACAAUGCCUCGAUAUCUGCAUUUAUUGUGAUUCAAGCACUGUGCUAAAGAGUUUUUAAUAUGCCAUGGAAAAUUGUGCCAGAAAAUUAUGGUUUGAACAUGGGCAGUUUUCUCCUACCUUCAGCUAUAUCCACAAGCACCACAUGAAAUGGAGAUCUGGCAGCUCUGUCAGUCAAGUUCCACAAUUAAACCUGACAACUACGGAGACAGAGCAUAAGAUGAUUUAUAUUGUGGAAAAUGUAUUUAUUUGCAAAGAAAGAAAAAGGCACUGUCCCAGGCAAGUGAAAUAAUAGCCAUAACAAUUUUUAAAGAUAUAGUGUUUC
Molecule: long non-coding RNA, 485 nt
Filed under: Rhinopithecus bieti (black snub-nosed monkey)
Lineage: Eukaryota; Metazoa; Chordata; Mammalia; Primates; Cercopithecidae
Description: lncRNA (ENSRBIG00000045144.1)
Source: RNAcentral